UUUAAGAAAGCGUUAAAGCUCAUUAAGCUCUCAAUCUCAAUACCAAAAUUUAUCUUAAUCCCUUUACUACUAUUGAAUGAUUCUAUACUUUAUAGAAGACCUAAUGCUAAAACUAGUAACAAGAAAUUGAAUUUCUCCAAAACACAAGUAUACAUCAAAACGGACAAACCAUUGAUAAUUAACGCUAAUGAGCCACAUAUAGCAACUAUACAAGAAAACACUAUAUAUGCUAACGUUAACCUUACACAAGUGUAUUCCCGGAAAGAUUAAAAGAAAGGGAAGGAACUCGGCAAACUUUAACCCCGCCUGUUUACCAAAAACAUCGCCUCUUGACUAAACAUAAGAGGUCCAGCCUGCCCAGUGACAUAGUUAAACGGCCGCGGUACUCUGACCGUGCGAAGGUAGCAUAAUCACUUGUUCUCUAAAUAAGGACUUGUAUCAACGGCAUCACGAGGGUUAUACUGUCUCCCUUUUCUAAUCAGUGAAACUGACUUCCCCGUGAAGAGGCGGGGAUAAACCUACAAGACGAGAAGACCCCAUGGAGCUUUAAACCCAAUAGCAACCCCCAACAAAUACGACCAUUAAACCCAGAGGCCCUGCUCAUUGGUUUUAGGUUGGGGUGACCGCGGAGUAUAACUAAACCUCCAUGACGAAUAGAUUUCAUCCUAAUCUCAGGGCUACCGCCCUAAGAAUCAAAAAUUUGACGUAAAAUGAUCCGAUAAUCGAUCAACGAACCAAGUUACCCUGGGGAUAACAGCGCAAUCCAUUUCAAGAGCCCCUAUCGACAAAUGGGUUUACGACCUCGAUGUUGGAUCAGGGUAUCCCAGUGGUGCAGCCGCUACUAAAGGUUUGUUUGUUCAACAAUUAAA
This 869-nucleotide ribosomal RNA is filed under the name Limnonectes dammermani (Dammerman's wart frog). RNAcentral describes it as "partial large subunit ribosomal RNA". It matches the Rfam family "Bacterial large subunit ribosomal RNA", at positions 1123 to 2592 of the family's 2925-position model. Lineage: Eukaryota; Metazoa; Chordata; Amphibia; Anura; Dicroglossidae. The record is from RNAcentral.